CAGCCGCCGCGGUAAUGCGGAGGGUGCAAGCGUUAAUCGGAAUUACUGGGCGUAAAGCGCACGCAGGCGGUCUGUCAAGUCAGAUGUGAAAUCCCCGGGCUUAACCUGGGAACUGCAUUUGAAACUGGCAGGCUAGAGUCUUGUAGAGGGGGGUAGAAUUCCAGGUGUAGCGGUGAAAUGCGUAGAGAUCUGGAGGAAUACCGGUGGCGAAGGCGGCCCCCUGGACAAAGACUGACGCUCAGGUGCGAAAGCGUGGGGAGCAAACAGGAUUAGAUACCCCUGUAGUCCCUGUCUCUUAUAC
Molecule: ribosomal RNA, 301 nt
Filed under: uncultured bacterium
Lineage: Bacteria
Description: partial 16S ribosomal RNA
Rfam family: Bacterial small subunit ribosomal RNA
Source: RNAcentral